AGUUCCUUAGUGUGUAAGAUUUUGUCAAUGUCGUGUUUUAUACGGCACUCGCUAAUAACGUCUAGAGUGGUUCAUCACGUCUCCUUUACACGGAGAAGGUCGUGGGUUCGAUCCCCACAGGAACUA
RNAcentral lists this transfer RNA (126 nucleotides) under Cladophialophora carrionii CBS 160.54. Its description in RNAcentral is "tRNA-Val (TAC) (tRNA-Val-TAC-1-1)". The record is from RNAcentral. Lineage: Eukaryota; Fungi; Ascomycota; Eurotiomycetes; Chaetothyriales; Herpotrichiellaceae.